ACGCGAAGAACCUUACCCAGGCUUGAACAGCGAGUGACCAUCGACGAAAGUUGACUUCCGCAAGGACACUCGUAGAGGUGCUGCAUGGCUGUCGUCAGCUCGUGUCGUGAGAUGUUGGGUUAAGUCCCGCAACGAGCGCAACCCUUGUUUGCUGUUGCCAUCACGUUAUGGUGGGCACUCUGCAAAGACUGCCGGUGAUAAACCGGAGGAAGGUGGGGAUGACGUCAAGUCAGCAUGGCCUUUAUGUCUGGGGCUACACACGUGCUACAAUGGCCGAUACAAACCGUCGCGAGCCCGCAAGGGGGAGCUAAUCGGAGAAAGUCGGUCUCAGUUCGGAUAGCAGGCUGCAACUCGCCUGCUUGAAGUUGGAAUCGCUAGUAAUCGCGGAUCAGCACGCCGCGGUGAAUACGUUCCCGGGCCUUGUA
This 425-nucleotide ribosomal RNA is filed under the name uncultured Acidobacterium sp. RNAcentral describes it as "bacterial SSU rRNA". It matches the Rfam family "Bacterial small subunit ribosomal RNA", at positions 959 to 1385 of the family's 1533-position model. Lineage: Bacteria; Pseudomonadati; Acidobacteriota; Terriglobia; Terriglobales; Acidobacteriaceae. The record is from RNAcentral.